Molecule: ribosomal RNA, 444 nt
Filed under: Arthrobacter sp.
Lineage: Bacteria; Bacillati; Actinomycetota; Actinomycetes; Micrococcales; Micrococcaceae
Description: bacterial SSU rRNA
Rfam family: Bacterial small subunit ribosomal RNA
Source: RNAcentral
CUCGAUAGUCCGGGGCUCAACUCCGGAUCUGCGGUGGGUACGGGCAGACUAGAGUGAUGUAGGGGAGACUGGAAUUCCUGGUGUAGCGGUGAAAUGCGCAGAUAUCAGGAGGAACACCGAUGGCGAAGGCAGGUCUCUGGGCAUUAACUGACGCUGAGGAGCGAAAGCAUGGGGAGCGAACAGGAUUAGAUACCCUGGUAGUCCAUGCCGUAAACGUUGGGCACUAGGUGUGGGGGACAUUCCACGUUUUCCGCGCCGUAGCUAACGCAUUAAGUGCCCCGCCUGGGGAGUACGGCCGCAAGGCUAAAACUCAAAGGAAUUGACGGGGGCCCGCACAAGCGGCGGAGCAUGCGGAUUUAUUCGAUGCCACGCGAAGAACCUUACCAAGGCUUGACAUGGGCCGGACCGGGCUGGAAACAGUCCUUCCCCUUUGGGGCGGUUCCA